Heterocephalus glaber (naked mole-rat) is the source of this 357-nucleotide long non-coding RNA. Lineage: Eukaryota; Metazoa; Chordata; Mammalia; Rodentia; Bathyergidae. The record is from Ensembl.
AUCAUGGGUCAGUAUGGAGAAUUCAUAUAUACCCGAGAACCCAGAAGGAAGCUCCCUGGCCACCAUCCCAAGCUCCUAGGGCAGAGAAGGUGAGCCGCACGGGUGCCAGAAGCACCGCCCGCCCCCGUGGAAAUGAGAAGACACGUAAACAAGCCUCAAAAACAGACUUCUGGAUCACCUACAACCAUAUUUGAGAUAAUGGAGAUUUUGAAGAUUAAGCCUGUAUAAAUGGAGAGGCUCCCAUAAAACUCCAGGCCCCAGGAUCUUAGUCUCAGCCUGAUCUACAUUCAGCUUCCAGUUGUUCAUCCAAAUUAUUGCUCUCCUACCAGCUUAUGGCUCCAGUGGCUUCUGUUCCAG